Molecule: unclassified non-coding RNA, 330 nt
Filed under: soil metagenome
Description: partial contains 5.8S ribosomal RNA, internal transcribed spacer 2, and large subunit ribosomal RNA
Rfam family: 5.8S ribosomal RNA (bases 1-120)
Source: RNAcentral
GAUGAAGAACGCAGCGAAAUGCGAUAAGUAGUGUGAAUUGCAGAAUUCAGUGAAUCAUCGAAUCUUUGAACGCACAUUGCGCCCCUCGGUAUUCCGUGGGGCAUGCCUGUUCGAGCGUCAUUUACCCCUCAAGCUCUGCUUGGUGUUGGGCGUUGUCCCGCUUCGCGCGAGGACUCGCCCUAAAGGUAUUGGCAGCGGUCGUGCCACCCCUCGCGCAGCACAUUGCGCUUCUUGAGGCGGUCGAUCAGCGUCCACAAAGCUCACAUCACAUCUUGACCUCGCAUCAGGUAGGGAUACCCGCUGAACUUAAGCAUAUCAAUAAGCGGAGGA